RNAcentral lists this long non-coding RNA (442 nucleotides) under Chinchilla lanigera (long-tailed chinchilla). RNAcentral's name for it is "lncRNA (ENSCLAG00000027174.1)". Lineage: Eukaryota; Metazoa; Chordata; Mammalia; Rodentia; Chinchillidae. The record is from RNAcentral.
AUGUUUUAAAUUAGAACACAAUGAAAUGAAGACAGUGUUUUUAACAAUCGUCAUCCUUUCUUUCCUUGACAGCAUAAUGAGGCAGUGGUUUUGUAAGCGUUACAUCUUUAACAUCAAGAGUUCAUUUUGUGACACUAAUGGAAAGAUGAUGGAAAAAUGAAGAAAGAAAAUAAAAAAGUCAAUCUACAAGGAAAAAAAAGGAAAGAGAAUAUUGGCUCAAAAAUAAUUGACUUUGUGCUUUACUCCUUCUAGACAUCAUAAUUUUAAUUUUAUGAUAAUAAAAUCAAGUAGGGAAAAUAAUUAUUAAAUUUUCCUCCAUAGAGUCAUACUUGUGGCAAACAAAUAGACUGGUUACUUAGCACUGGGAUAUCUGCUAUUGUAAUGACUUCUUUUUUUUAUUUUAAAGAUAAAAGAACCAAAACAUAUUAACAAACACACAGAC